CCUACGGGAGGCUGCAGUGAGGAAUAUUGGUCAAUGGACGAGAGUCUGAACCAGCCAAGUAGCGUGAAGGAUGACUGCCCUAUGGGUUGUAAACUUCUUUUAUAUGGGACUAAAAUGUUCCACGUGUGGGCUUUUGUAUGUACCAUAUGAAUAAGGAUCGGCUAACUCCGUGCCAGCAGCCGCGGUAAUACGGAGGAUCCGAGCGUUAUCCGGAUUUAUUGGGUUUAAAGGGAGCGUAGGUGGAUUGUUAAGUCAGUUGUGAAAGUUUGCGGCUCAACCGUAAAAUUGCAGUUGAAACUGGCAGUCUUGAGUACAGUAGAGGUGGGCGGAAUUCGUGGUGUAGCGGUGAAAUGCUUAGAUAUCACGAAGAACUCCGAUUGCGAAGGCAGCUCACUGGACUGCAACUGACACUGAGGCUCGAAAGUGUGGGUAUCAAACAGGAUUAGAUACCCUAGUAGUC
This 460-nucleotide ribosomal RNA is filed under the name uncultured bacterium. Its description in RNAcentral is "partial 16S ribosomal RNA". It matches the Rfam family "Bacterial small subunit ribosomal RNA", at positions 338 to 795 of the family's 1533-position model. The record is from RNAcentral.